Molecule: ribosomal RNA, 5633 nt
Filed under: Roseovarius sp. TM1035
Lineage: Bacteria; Pseudomonadati; Pseudomonadota; Alphaproteobacteria; Rhodobacterales; Roseobacteraceae
Description: partial 23S ribosomal RNA
Rfam family: Bacterial large subunit ribosomal RNA (bases 2806-5633)
Source: RNAcentral
UGCUGGGACGCGGAACGGACUGGGGCGGAUGCCUUGGGAAGGGAAGCGGCUAGAAAUUCUGAGGUAGGAUUGGCGGGUUGCGCUAGGUAGUUUGGCGCUCUCGGUUGAUUUUGUCUCGACGCUCUUUGAAAAUUUAGUAACUGAAGAGAUAUGUGGGCGGUUUGGUUCAUUUCGAUGGAUCAACGUCUGUAUAUCAACGCUACUAGGGUUUUGGCCCGAUGAUGUAGUGUCAGCUUCACUGUCUUGUAUGGACUUCGGUUUCUUUGGAAACUGAUGUGCAUCAGACAGAUGACUUUCAAUGCGGUCGUUUCCUUAGCCGGGUCGACCAUGCUGCUGAGUGAUUGUGUGUGGAUUUAUUCGCACUCAAGUAGCGCAGCGGUAGUGCAUUGAAGAUGUGCAGAGGUUCGAACGUCAAGGAUAAGCAGCGAUGCUUUUCAACUUGAGAGUUUGAUCCUGGCUCAGAACGAACGCUGGCGGCAGGCCUAACACAUGCAAGUCGAGCGAACCUUCGGGUUAGCGGCGGACGGGUGAGUAACGCGUGGGAACGUACCCUCUUCUGCGGGAUAGCCACUGGAAACGGUGAGUAAUACCGCAUACGCCCUUUGGGGGAAAGAUUUAUCGGAGGAGGAUCGGCCCGCGUUGGAUUAGGUAGUUGGUGGGGUAAUGGCCUACCAAGCCUACGAUCCAUAGCUGGUUUUAGAGGAUGAUCAGCCACACUGGGACUGAGACACGGCCCAGACUCCUACGGGAGGCAGCAGUGGGGAAUCUUAGACAAUGGGCGCAAGCCUGAUCUAGCCAUGCCGCGUGAGUGACGAAGGCCUUAGGGUCGUAAAGCUCUUUCGCCAGAGAUGAUAAUGACAGUAUCUGGUAAAGAAACCCCGGCUAACUCCGUGCCAGCAGCCGCGGUAAUACGGAGGGGGUUAGCGUUGUUCGGAAUUACUGGGCGUAAAGCGCACGUAGGCGGAUUGGAAAGUUGGGGGUGAAAUCCCAGGGCUCAACCCUGGAACGGCCUCCAAAACUCCCAGUCUAGAGUUCGAGAGAGGUGAGUGGAAUUCCGAGUGUAGAGGUGAAAUUCGUAGAUAUUCGGAGGAACACCAGUGGCGAAGGCGGCUCACUGGCUCGAUACUGACGCUGAGGUGCGAAAGUGUGGGGAGCAAACAGGAUUAGAUACCCUGGUAGUCCACACCGUAAACGAUGAAUGCCAGUCGUCGGCAAGCAUGCUUGUCGGUGACACACCUAACGGAUUAAGCAUUCCGCCUGGGGAGUACGGUCGCAAGAUUAAAACUCAAAGGAAUUGACGGGGGCCCGCACAAGCGGUGGAGCAUGUGGUUUAAUUCGAAGCAACGCGCAGAACCUUACCAACCCUUGACAUGGAUAUCGUAGUUACCAGAGAUGGUUUCGUCAGUUCGGCUGGAUAUCACACAGGUGCUGCAUGGCUGUCGUCAGCUCGUGUCGUGAGAUGUUCGGUUAAGUCCGGCAACGAGCGCAACCCACAUCCCUAGUUGCCAGCAGGUUAAGCUGGGCACUCUAUGGAAACUGCCCGUGAUAAGCGGGAGGAAGGUGUGGAUGACGUCAAGUCCUCAUGGCCCUUACGGGUUGGGCUACACACGUGCUACAAUGGUGGUGACAAUGGGUUAAUCCCAAAAAGCCAUCUCAGUUCGGAUUGGGGUCUGCAACUCGACCCCAUGAAGUCGGAAUCGCUAGUAAUCGCGUAACAGCAUGACGCGGUGAAUACGUUCCCGGGCCUUGUACACACCGCCCGUCACACCAUGGGAGUUGGGUCUACCCGACGACGGUGCGCUAACCUCGCAAGAGGAGGCAGCCGGCCACGGUAGGCUCAGCGACUGGGGUGAAGUCGUAACAAGGUAGCCGUAGGGGAACCUGCGGCUGGAUCACCUCCUUUCUAAGGAUGUUUCUAGUCAGAUCAGCGUGCUGAUCUCGUGAAACACUUAGCAUGAUCGGCAAACAAAGCCGGUCAACAUACGAACCGGACCGUCCUCAUAUCUCUUCAGGAACGUAAUCACAGACCUACCGGUCUGUCUUGGGUCGGUAGCUCAGGUGGUUAGAGCGCACGCCUGAUAAGCGUGAGGUCGGAGGUUCAAGUCCUCCUCGACCCACCACUCCCUUUGGUCGUGUUGGGGCUCGUCGGGAAUUUGAUUUGUGCGUCCUCGGGUCUUGCGACCCUGCGGGCGACACGGGCCUCGACCCACCAUCGCACUUGGCCUUAAAUCGCCGAAAGGCGGUAGGCCAAACAUCUGGCCUCAAGUAGCCGUAAGGCGGUAGGCCAAACAUCAUGGGGCCUUAGCUCAGCUGGGAGAGCGCCUGAUUUGCAUUCAGGAGGUCAGGAGUUCGAUCCUCCUAGGCUCCACCAUGUGCCAGCCCUUUUGAUUAGAUCGCUAAGCGCUUUCGAGCGUUUAGCCGUCCAAUCGGACGUUGCCCCCCUGCGGGGCAUGACUUGACAUCGUAUAGAGAGAUACAUAUCAACACUGUUUGGUGUUCGCGCGUAAGCGAUACACCUCAGUUUGGUGCUUGAGGCCUUCGGGCCGAGAGCGAGCAUAUGACGCGAUUGCUUCCUCGAUCGCCCCUAUGUCUGCCAGCUGAAACGAACAGAGUUGUCCAAGUCAAGUACACUAACCCGAACAACGUGGUCUGCCUCCCGCACGGAUGGCAGAUCGGUUGCGUUGUUCAUUGUCUGGUUCCAAGAACCAGGCGGGAAAAGUAUGCUUUUGAUACCGGAAUUAUGGCAACAGUUUCUUACCAGCUUCUGUUGUCGCGCAAGGCGCAAGUCUUGCUAGUUCUGGAUCAAAUCAAGCGCGAGAAGGGCGUUUGGUGGAUGCCUUGGCAGUAAGAGGCGAUGAAGGACGUGAUACUCUGCGAUAAGCCAUGAGGAGCUGAGAAUAAGCUGUGAUCCAUGGAUUUCCGAAUGGGGCAACCCACCUGACAGUUUGUUAUAAUUGCCUUUUGGCAGUUUAUAACGGGCUGAAACAGGUACUUUUUGACUGAAUACAUAGGUCUUAAAGAGCAAACCCGGAGAACUGAAACAUCUAAGUACCCGGAGGAAAGGACAGCAAUAGCGACUCCCCUAGUAGCGGCGAGCGAACGGGGACCAGCCGAGCCCAAUAAGUGACCAGAAUGCGUUGGGAAGCGCAGCCAUAGCGGGUGACAGCCCCGUAUGGGAAGCUUUGAGGGACGUAUCAAGUAGGGCGGAACACGUGAAAUUCUGUCUGAAGAUCGGAGGACCACCUUCGAAGGCUAAGUACUCCUUACUGACCGAUAGCGAACCAGUACCGUGAGGGAAAGGUGAAAAGCACCCCGACGAGGGGAGUGAAACAGUACCUGAAACCGAACGCCUACAAUCAGUCGGAGGGGCAUAAGCCCUGACGGCGUACCUUUUGUAUAAUGGGUCAUCGACUUGGUCUAUCUAGCAAGCUUAAGCCGUUAGGUGUAGGCGCAGCGAAAGCGAGUCUUAAUAGGGCGUUGAGUUAGAUGGAUCAGACCCGAAACCGAGUGAUCUAGGCAUGACCAGGAUGAAGGUUGGGUAACACCAACUGGAGGUCCGAACCCACACCUGUUGAAAAAGGUCGGGAUGAGUUGUGCCUAGGGGUGAAAGGCCAAUCAAACUCGGAGAUAGCUGGUUCUCUGCGAAAUCUAUUUAGGUAGAGCGUCAUCCGAAUACCCUCGGGGGUAGAGCACUGGAUGGGUAAUGGGGCCCCACAGGCUUACUGAUCCUAACCAAACUCCGAAUACCGAGGAGUACUAGAUGGCAGACAGACGGCGGAUGCUAACGUCCGUCGUCGAGAGGGAAACAACCCUGACCUCCGGCUAAGGCCCCCAAUUCAUGGCUAAGUGGGAAAGCAGGUGGGACGACCAAAACAACCAGGAGGUUGGCUUAGAAGCAGCCAUCCUUUAAAGAUAGCGUAACAGCUCACUGGUCUAAAUAAGUUGUCCUGCGGCGAAGAUGUAACGGGGCUCAAGCCAUGAGCCGAAGCCGAGGAUGCCGUAAGGCAUGGUAGCAGAGCGUAGUGUGACAUGGUUUCUAUCCUCUUUAGUGUCCUUCGGGACACCAUGGAGGAGAAGAAAUCUUCGAUGAAGCGGGCCUGUGAGGGAUCCCGUGGAGAGAUCACUAGUGAGAAUGAUGACAUGAGUAGCGAUAAAGGGUGUGAGAGACACCCUCGCCGAAAGUCCAAGGGUUCCUGCUUAAAGCUAAUCUGAGCAGGGUAAGCCGACCCCUAAGGCGAGGCCGAAAGGCGUAGUCGAUGGGAACCAGGUUAAUAUUCCUGGGCCAGAUGGAAGUGACGGAUCUCAAAGGUUGUUCGUUCUUAUCGGAUUGAACGGGCCGCUCAGAGGUUCCUGGAAAUAGCUCCAUCGCUAGAUCGUACCCGAAACCGACACAGGUGGACUGGUAGAGAAUACCAAGGCGCUUGAGAGAACUAUGUUGAAGGAACUCGGCAAAAUACCUCCGUAAGUUCGCGAGAAGGAGGCCCGGUUUCUAGGCAACUAGAGGCUGGGGGCACAAACCAGGGGGUGGCGACUGUUUACUAAAAACACAGGGCUCUGCGAAGUCGCAAGACGACGUAUAGGGUCUGACGCCUGCCCGGUGCCUGAAGGUUAAAAGGAGGGGUGAGAGCUCUGAAUUGAAGCCCAGGUAAACGGCGGCCGUAACUAUAACGGUCCUAAGGUAGCGAAAUUCCUUGUCGGGUAAGUUCCGACCUGCACGAAUGGCGUAACGACUUCCCCGCUGUCUCCAACAUAGACUCAGCGAAAUUGAAUUGCCUGUCAAGAUGCAGGCUUCCCGCGGUUAGACGGAAAGACCCCGUGCACCUUUACUAUAGCUUCGCACUGGCAUCAGGAUUGUGAUGUGCAGGAUAGGUGGUAGGCUUUGAAGCAGGGACGCUAGUCCCUGUGGAGCCUCCCUUGAGAUACCACCCUUCGCACUCUUGAUGUCUAACCGCGGCCCGUUAUCCGGGUCCGGGACCCUGCGUGGUGGGUAGUUUGACUGGGGCGGUCGCCUCCUAAAGCGUAACGGAGGCGCGCGAAGGUUGGCUCAGAGCGGUCGGAAAUCGCUCGUUGAGUGCAAUGGCAGAAGCCAGCCUGACUGCGAGACUGACAAGUCGAGCAGAGUCGAAAGACGGCCAUAGUGAUCCGGUGGUCCCAAGUGGGAGGGCCAUCGCUCAACGGAUAAAAGGUACGCCGGGGAUAACAGGCUGAUACUGCCCAAGAGUCCAUAUCGACGGCAGUGUUUGGCACCUCGAUGUCGGCUCAUCUCAUCCUGGGGCUGGAGCAGGUCCCAAGGGUACGGCUGUUCGCCGUUUAAAGAGGUACGUGAGCUGGGUUUAGAACGUCGUGAGACAGUUCGGUCCCUAUCUGCCGUGGGUGUAGGAUACUUGAGAGGAGUUGCCCCUAGUACGAGAGGACCGGGGUGAACGAACCACUGGUGGACCUGUUGUGGCGCCAGCCGCAGUGCAGGGUAGCUAUGUUCGGACAGGAUAACCGCUGAAGGCAUCUAAGCGGGAAGCCCCCCUCAAAACAAGGUAUCCCUGAGGGCCGUGGUAGACCACCACGUCGAUAGGCCGGAGAUGUAAGCGCAGCAAUGCGUUCAGUUGACCGGUACUAAUGGCCCGAUAGGCUUGAUU